AAUGAAGGAAAUAUUGAUAUCUCACAUAAUAAACACUGUUUGGGGUCCUCAGUGAUUUUUAAGAGAGGAAACGUGUGAACAGAGUGUGUGAGUUGUACUCAGGCACUGCGUUACGUAUGGCAGGUGCUCAUGUAUGCUUGUGACACUCAUGAGGGACUGACUGAAUAGGUAGCUUUCAGCUGCUCCUAGGAUUUGCAAGCUGAGGCUGGGGUGGAGGGGAGGGAGAAGGUGCCUGUUGAUAGUGGGCCCAGUACCGGGAAGGUGGGACUUGCCAGGGUCUAGGAGCAGCGUUGGCUCUCAUGGCAACACCGACUGGGGAACCUGGGUCUCAGGCAUUGGGGCUGGGCAUAAGUGUGAUGUGCCAUGUGGGCUUCAAGCAGCUCACGCUAUCCAGUCCCCCUUAGUGCUGAAGGGCAGGAACAACUGUCUAAAUCUCCCUCUCUGUGAGAGGAACUGAGCAGAAUGUUUUUCUAGAAACCUCUGGCUGUCAAAUCACUGGGUGUGGGCUCGACACAGAGCACUGCGGCCUCAGUAGACAGAUUGAGGCUGCAGGUACCUCUCCCUGCUCUGCCCUGACCAGCUAUGCGACCGCCGGCAAGGCACUUAACUGCCAGCUUACUCAACCAUAUGGUGAGGAUGAGAUAAAAUGUCCGUGGAGUGCCUGGCACAUGCUGGGUGUGCAGCACAUUAGUGACUCCAUUAGUAAGAUGUCAUUAAUAAUAAAUACUCAAAAGAAGUAGGCUGGGAGGAGGGGCUAAAGAGGAAGGGUCCUUGAGGGAGUACUUCCUGGUGCUCGAUGAGUGACAGUUGAAGCUUGGCAUAGAUCAUGGUUUCUCAGCCUCUGCACUAAUAAUGUUUUGGGCCAGACAAUUCAUUGUUGUGAGGGCUGUCCUGUGCAUUGUAGGAUGUGAAGCAGCUUCCCUGGCCUCUACCCACUAGAUGCUGGAAGGGAAGCACUCUCUCCCUGGUCUUAACAACCAAAAACCAAAAAUGUCUCC
This 998-nucleotide long non-coding RNA is filed under the name Homo sapiens (human). RNAcentral describes it as "HSALNT0220820". The record is from RNAcentral. Lineage: Eukaryota; Metazoa; Chordata; Mammalia; Primates; Hominidae.